UUUUCCUUUCGUUCACCCAGAUAUUCUGCACGAUUACAGCUGCAGUCUUUGGCUGCAGGCAGUGACCCUGGGUGGUUUGCCUGAAGAGAAGAGAGACUCUUUCAGCUCUCCCCAUCUAUCUGGGUGACUUUGGUUAGGGUUUCUUUACCAUGUCAGAGGGACAGGGUGUAAAGCAGAGUUGAACAGAACAGAGGCCAGAGGAGCAGAGCAAGAAGGUGGGUCGUCACCUGACAUCAGCACAAAGAUGUGGCUUUUGGCUCCACGUUUACUCGCUGCGUUAAGGAUUUUCUUGUUUUGGUUUGGUUUUUCUUUGUUUUCAGAUGCAGAGCCCUCAGCACAGGAGGCUAUAGGCACCGGAGGGGAGGUGAUCCAGGUGAGUACCUGUGAGCAAGGGGUUCUGCCACCUUCUAACAGACAGUCCAAUGCUUCAGGGACCCUGUCGGUAAGAGAUCACUGUCGAGGAGAGAGAAUGUAUGCAGUCUCAGAGGGCUGGAGCCACCUGCCAAUUAGGUUUGAUGGUCUUCAGCUGUCCAUGUGAGUAAUCUCCUAGUACUAUGAGGGUCAUCAAUUAAGGCUCAACCUCUUCCAGUUGCUGGUGCCAUCCAGCCUGCCUUUGGCAAUGGAGGAGCAUUCAGGUUGAGUUGGGGAGGUAGCGAGGAGGUGCUGGGUGUUUCAGAAACACCACGUAACUUUUUUUACUAACUCACCCAGGUACAGUACAUGGUGAUAGCAGCAGCCUAUGACUCGAGUCGGAGCUAGUGACCCGAGAACCUCACAGCUUA
This is a long non-coding RNA of Chiroxiphia lanceolata (lance-tailed manakin), 782 nucleotides long. RefSeq lists it as uncharacterized. The record is from RefSeq and is a predicted model, not a curated record. Lineage: Eukaryota; Metazoa; Chordata; Aves; Passeriformes; Pipridae. The transcript is spliced from 3 exons.